Molecule: transfer RNA, 67 nt
Filed under: Xyleborus sp. BMNH 1040067
Lineage: Eukaryota; Metazoa; Arthropoda; Insecta; Coleoptera; Curculionidae
Description: tRNA-Phe
Source: RNAcentral
AUUUAAAUAGCUUAAAUGAUAAGAGCAUAGUAUUGAAGAUACUAAGGUAGUUAGAAACUUUUAAAUA